UUCGGAAAUUUAACUUUGAAUUGGUCUAAACAUCACAAUCGUGUUUUUCUCGCUAUCUAAACGCGCUAAGUAUCUUUCCAGCUCCGAAUCGUCGUUUUUGUUGGAAUUUAGGAAGUUUGCUGCAAAUU
This is a long non-coding RNA of Dendroctonus ponderosae (mountain pine beetle), 128 nucleotides long. RefSeq lists it as uncharacterized. The transcript has 3 exons. NCBI's taxonomy places the organism in Eukaryota, Metazoa, Arthropoda, Insecta, Coleoptera, Curculionidae. The record is from RefSeq and is a predicted model, not a curated record.